RNAcentral lists this ribosomal RNA (3676 nucleotides) under Triticum aestivum (bread wheat). Its description in RNAcentral is "partial small subunit ribosomal RNA". Lineage: Eukaryota; Viridiplantae; Streptophyta; Magnoliopsida; Poales; Poaceae. The record is from RNAcentral.
GGGAGAGAAGGAAAUUACGGGAGAGGAGCAGAGCAGAGAGCAGAGAGCAGCGGCCGGACGCUGCAAGCCCGACCCAGACCGCGCAGCCGCCGAUCGCCGUCGCCGCCGCAGAUCGCCCUGCGCCCUCGCCGUGGCUCGCCUGGCGGGCCGGUGGUAGCAGGCGAGCAGCUCCACUCUCUGAAGCCGAGUCCCGCUGCCAUCUCCUCUACGAUCUGAUACUUGCAGCUGCAUUCCACCACUGCUUGAACUUCGUCCAAAACACUACUUGCGGCUGCAUUAAACCUCUGAUUGGCGAAGGGCUAGGAACAGAUAAGCUGACGUAUGGGCAUCAUCAAGAUCAAGCUCGCCAUGGACAGGCCGCGGAACCGUGUGUUGUUGGCUGACGCGGGCUCCGACUUCGUCGAUGUCCUCCUAUCCUUCCUCACUCUGCCGCUCUCUGCACUCCAGUCCUGCGCAAUAGGCGCGUCAUCCUUGCGGGGAUGCCUCUCCAACCUCUGCGACAGCGUCGACCACCUCAGAAACAGUAGCCUGCUGAAGGUUGAGGCCUGCCAUGGCAUGCUUCUCACGCCUGCUCACACCAAUGAGUUCCAGCUCUGCAAGUCAACUCACAGUACCAAUGACCUUGAGAUUUCCAGGCUCUGCAAGUGUUCCCUAGUUAUGGCUAGAGUGUUGCAUGUCUACGAGCAAGUAGGCUGCAAAGAGACGUUUGUAGGUGGCAAAGAACGGUAUGUGAUCAGUGAUGACAUGAAAAUCAAGCCAGCAUCCACCAGCACCAUGCUAUUGCUGCCUCAGGCGUUCGAUUCUGAUGGUAUCGGUCAUGGCUUUGAGGAGGUGGAAGUGAGCGUCUCCAGGACACAAGGAACUGAUAAUCAUAAGGCCACUCAUGCCACUAUGACACCGAUCAUCCGUCAGAAUAUUAUUCCAUUGGAUCAAGAUUCUGCAGGUUCAGAAUGGAAGAUAAAGGUCUUUUACCACACCCGUGAAAAGAAGGUCAUGUAUGCCGAAUGCAACCAUGAGUUUGUCGACAUGCUCCUCGGAUUCUUGACUUACCCUAUCAGCUGUGUGAUCAAGAACAUGGGGGCUGGCACUUGCCAUCUUGGCAGGUGCUUCGACAAUCUCUAUAGAAGCGUCACUGAUCUCGACGAUGUUGGGCGCUUAACAGGUGUCCUCUCCAAUAUGAUGUUCAUGGAUCCAGGCGUUAUGCCAUUUGACAUUUUUACCAACAUCAAGUCAUACCGGGCGCUUGCCUGCCGGUGCCCGAAGGAUGAUAACACACAUUAUUGCUGGCAUCCUGAGCUUGUUGAGGGUGGGAACUAUGUCGUCGGCGAUGAUCUACUUGUGCAUCAGGCCUCUGCCAUGUCUAUCAUGAAGCAUUGGUGUGGGAUAGACAAGGCUAACGUACUGCAGAUGGGCAUUGCUGUCGGGAAACGGGAGGCUGUUGCGCUGCUGCGAGCAUUGCUGACUUCAGAGACGGCACUGACUGAUGUGUUCAUCAGCAGGCUGGAGGAGAUGCAGAUAUUUGUCAAGUUCCCUUGGGGUAAGACCAUAACCGUGCAGGUUGUGAGAUCCGAUACGAUUGCCACCAUCAAGAGCAGGAUGAAGGAUAAGGUGUCGAUGCCGACUGGAUGUCGUCAUAAAUUGCUGUAUGCUAGCAGAUAUCUUAGAGACUCGUGCACUGUUGCUGACUAUAACAUCACCAGAGAAUCUACCAUCACCUGUGAAUUUCACAAGCUGAUGCCUACAGCCGGUCAGGAUGAAGCCUGAUCAACUUGACGGCUACAUCCGGUAGAUCGAGAUGAAGCUCUGGUGGCAGUUUUAUUUGCCUCUGUUUAGUUUGACCAGUGGUGGUGCCAUGUUCUCCUAUUUGGGCUUACGCCUGCCUGAACACUUCCAUUCCAAGCCACAAGGGGCACCAGACAAGUUUACAAGAAGAUUUGUAAGGAGAAAAGGGGAAUUAAAUUACAAAGAAUGCAUUCUCCCAGAGAGGUGAAACAACAUAGAAGCCCAAUCUCGCACAAGGGCUUGUUUCGCAAGGCCCUGACAUUCACGCUCUCCUGUAAAUCUGUGAAUUUGGUUGAUGCUAAAAAUCUGUAUCACAUCACUAUUAGUGCAGCAUUGCCUGUUAUAUGACAGUGUGUUUGUCUACAGUGAAGCAUGGCUAGAUUCUCUGUCUUGAUGCAAGGCGACAUGAUCAUCGAUGACAUUUAGACAUCCUGCUUCGGUUUUGGUAUAAGCAUCAUUCAGAUAAGAACUAGCAACAAGUUAGAUUUUUAGUAGUAGCCUAGAUUUUUUUCAUCGAUAUGCUUUUUUUUUUGAGAAAUCUCGCCGACUUUACUAAUCUUUAUUUUUACAUAUAUACAUACAUACAUAUAUAUAUAUAUAUAUAUAUAUAUAUAUAUAUAUAUAUAUCUUUCCCUACUAAUAAAGCACGGAGUGCUUCUGCCCGUCCGUCGUCAACUUUUACAGAAAACACCCUGAUUUUACUGAUAAUCAACCCGCAAUCCUAUUAUCCAGUCAACCUGAACCGGUACGGGCAACAGAAAAGAAAAAAAACACCCGAGACCCACGACCUUGCCUCCCAUCCAUCCAUCGCGCGCCGCAACCGCCGGCCACCACCCAUCCGGCGCGCGCCGCCGCCGGCCGCUCCUUCCGCCGCGCGCCGCCGUCGCCGGGCCCACCCUCAAGUAAAGGGAACCAAACAAAUUUCCUACAGAGGAGAAGGGAACAGAACAAAUUUCAUCCGAGGAGAAGGGAAAAGAACGAAAUUUCCUCCGUAAUGUGGAAGAGGGAGCAAAGGAAAGUGAAAUGGAAUGUGAAGGAGGAUAAACUCCCAAGUGGAACAAGCCGAACGCAUCGAUCUCCCUAAGAUAGAGUGGUCGUGGUUGCCUUGGCGCUCGCGAGCUAGCAACUUCGGAGCAGAGGAAGAGAGGGGGGGCCAUCGGCCCAGGCGCUGCGGUCGGGAACAAGGACGAGUCCAGCAGCUACAAGGAGAUGACCGUGUCGCUCCUGACCGGCACCGGGAAGUUCAACAUCAGCGACUUCGUGCCGGCGCUGUCGUGGCUAGACCUGCAGGGAGUGCAGGCCAAGCUGCGCCGAGUGCACCGCCAGUUCGACGGGCUCAACACGAAGCUGCUGGUGCCUGGUGGAGCACGCGGCAACGGACGAAGAGCGCGCCUGGGAGGAGGGCCGGUUGGACUUCGUGGACAUGCUUCGGUUGGUGGCUUGGAGCAGGCCGGGGCGAGGCGGAAAACGCGAGUGCCGAGCAGAGGACGAAGCAAGGAUGAGCGGCGCGGGAUCGGCCGGACCUCUGGGGGGCGUGUCGCAGGUGGCGGAGGCUGUGGGCGGGGCCGUCCGAAUCGGAUUGGAGGCGAGGCUGCUGGCCGGAUCCGGAGCGGGCCGGCGACUGGGGCAGGACGGCCAGAUCAGACCCAUGGCAAAGGAGCUUCCAUGGCGCCUAUGGGUUCCUCACUGAUAAGGGGUGAUGCCCUGGCUCUGGCCAGCCACCACGGCCGCGCACACUCCAGGAGAGUGGAGUGCAUCGUCGGCACAACACAUGUAGAAGAGGAGGAGCAACACUGGGUGAUAGUGGCUGGAGAAGAGGAGGAGUAGCGCUGAGUGAGAAGAAGGAGUGGCGAUGUGGAUAAGGCAAGCAGAUGGGUAGAUGGAUGAGAAGGAG